GAUGAACGCUGGCGGCGUGCCUAACACAUGCAAGUCGAGCGAGAAGCUCAUGACGGAAUCUUCGGAGGACGGAUUGAGUGGAAAGCGGCGGACGGGUGAGUAACGCGUGGGUAACCUGCCCUGUACAGAGGAAUAGCCAUUGGAAACGAUGAUUAAUGCCUCAUAAGACUACAGUAUCGCAUGAUACAGUAGCCAAAACUCCGGUGGUACAGGAUGGACCCGCGUUAGAUUAGCUAGUUGGUAAGGUAAAGGCUUACCAAGGCGACGAUCUAUAGCCGACCUGAGAGGGUGAUCGGCCACACUGGAACUGAGACACGGUCCAGACUCCUACGGGAGGCAGCAGUGGGGAAUAUUGCACAAUGGGCGCAAGCCUGAUGCAGCAACGCCGCGUGAACGAAGAAAGGCUUUCGGGUCGUAAAGUUCUUUUCUUAGGAAAAAUGACGGUACCUAAGGAAUAAGCACGGCUAAAUACGU
This 474-nucleotide ribosomal RNA is filed under the name uncultured bacterium. RNAcentral describes it as "bacterial SSU rRNA". It matches the Rfam family "Bacterial small subunit ribosomal RNA", at positions 28 to 506 of the family's 1533-position model. The record is from RNAcentral.